Molecule: long non-coding RNA, 991 nt
Organism: Chelonoidis abingdonii (Abingdon island giant tortoise)
Lineage: Eukaryota; Metazoa; Chordata; Testudines; Testudinidae
Source: RefSeq, a predicted model, not a curated record
UGUAGUUUACCUCCUCCUCCCCCCCCCAGCAAGCUGGGGACUACAACUCCCAGAAGGGAGUAAGCCAAGCGCCAUUUUGAAGAUGUGGGUGUUCUUUAAAUGAGCAGGCGGCAAUAACUGUGCUUUCGAGCCUCCGCAACUGCGUGGGGGUGUCCGAGCCCCCUACGGGGAGGGCGGUGCUGCAUAGAAGGGCCCAGAAUUGUAGCCUCCCUGCCAGGAGAGGGGAAGGAGGGUAACAUAAUCACCCUUUGAGGUCCAUUGGAGAAGUAUGCAGACCUUUUGGAGAGCGUACAACAAGCCUUAUCUGAGCAGAUGGACCAUCACUGUUUGAAGGAGCAUCUAGUCAAAAUUAUAAGUAUCCUAAAGAACUCUCUCCACUAGUUUUGAUAAACUCAUUCGGUAAUGAUGUAACUCUUUUGUAGUGCAGGGAUUAACAACUUCCUCUAUACAGACGGUGAGAUGCUAGAUUUUAUUUUCUUGCAGCAGUUUGCGGGGGGGAAAAACACCUUAUUUUUAAUAGGACUUAUUAAAAUGCUGUUCAGUUUUCAUUAUUUCCAAUUAGAAAGAGCUUGCUUUUCCAAUAUCUAAGAGUUUAAGAGUAAUUGAAACUUUUUUUAAAGAAGAAACUAACACAAAAUCUGAUGUGAUAGGUGUCCUUAUUACAAAGAUAUGAAAUGUUGAUUGUAUACUGUCAAGAAAUAUUAUAUUAGUUGGAUAGAUUCUUUAUUCUUAUUUUUAGAAGUUGCAUUUUUUAUUCAAUUUAUUAUUCUAUCAAAGAAUAUUACUUUGAAAUGCACCUGGCAAGUUGAGCACGGAGCAUUGAGUCAGUAAGUGUAAAAAGUAAGUAAGUCUUUUUAAGGAAGCAAAAAUAAAAUUCUCUUAGUGCUGCCUUGUUUCUCUCUCUCACUCCCUUUGCUGUAUAGAAAUAUUGUACUCUGAAAAACAGUGUAAGUGGGGAAGAUCUGCAUUCAGGAAUCUGCUUUCAACCUUU